Molecule: long non-coding RNA, 1191 nt
Filed under: Homo sapiens (human)
Lineage: Eukaryota; Metazoa; Chordata; Mammalia; Primates; Hominidae
Description: synapse stability regulating cerebellar lncRNA
Source: RNAcentral
GGGAGCGCGGGCGCGCGCCCGCGUCCGCGCACUGAGAGUCGCCUCGGCCGCUCGCUUUCUCGACUCCCGCCUCGCGCCUCGAUCCUGUUCCGCCUCCCUCGGCCCUCCUGCCCGCCCCCACUCGUCGGCCCUCAGCUCAGAGACCUAAUAGGAUGGGGUCUUAGAGAAACAUCUUUUGAGCCACAGACUUCUUUGUUACCAGAAGGAAAAUGAAAGAAGAAAUUUAAAUACCACUUGAAGAGAGUUUCCUCAUCAGCAAAGUCAGAAAAAGUAUGUACCUGAAGGACUGAUUGUAAGGCUGGGAUGAGAGAAUCCAUGUGAUCAGCCCUCACCAACAGGUGCUGCCCAGUUCAUGAGUGCUGCUGCUGUCCUGCCCAAGUACCCAGCUUGCAGAGUGCCAGAGUUAGAGUCCCAGGGGUGUUCUCCACAGCUGCAUGCUUGAUCCAGGCCUAUCAGAUAUAUUCCAUUGAAAGUCCUCAUUCUCAAAUUUAAAACAAAGACUUUUUGUGUACCUCAAUAGCAAUGCACACACAGUUGGCUUCACAAACAUAUUGUACAUUUCUUUUUUUCAUAUUUAUUCAACAAAUGUAUAUUGACUACCCACCGUGUGACAGGUGUUAUUUGUUGACGGAACCAGGCAUCAUCAGCAAACAAAACUGACAAAGCUUCCUGCCCUCUGUGGAAGGCAUCUGAGGAAGAGACUGGAUUUUGUAGCAACAUGUUAUUCUCAUUAUAAACUUUAUCAUUGGAAUACUAAAGCCAAAUCAUCCCCCAUCUCCUUGAUCAGGAUACCCACUUAAUCUAGGCAGCUACACAAUUGUGAGAGCCUUUGUUUUUUUCUGCUGAAACAUCCUUAAAAAGAUACCUCACAACCCAAGAUUUGGCUUUUCUUAAAUACGAUUUUUAAUUUUUUUCAUUUCUAUCUAGAGAUUUAAUUGGAAAUGGAAAAUCAUCAAUUUUCCAAUUAAAUGUCUGUUCCAAUCAACAUUAUACCUUUUAGGUUGUCAUUGUCAUUUUUAAGUUUAAGCAACUUUAAGGAUUUUGAAUCUGGCUGCCUGUAAAUUAAAGGUGAAAGUAAUCAUUGUGUUGGAUUGGAACAUUUUGUCAAUUGAGAGUGGUUUCCUUGUUCUUAGUGUAUGAAAAGUUUAUUUUUCUAAUGUAGAUUAAUAAAGGAGAUAAAGAAAAACAAAA